Molecule: long non-coding RNA, 811 nt
Organism: Syzygium oleosum
Lineage: Eukaryota; Viridiplantae; Streptophyta; Magnoliopsida; Myrtales; Myrtaceae
Exons: 2
Source: RefSeq, a predicted model, not a curated record
CUCAAUCAAAUCGCUGCCCGGUCGCUCCCGCUCCUCGCGAGCAUCAGUCUAUCGUUCCCCGUCUCUUUUUUCCAAAGGCUUCAUUGUCCACAAGGUUCAAGUUCGUCGUUCGCGUGCACCGCUUGGGAGACCAUGGCGGCGAGGGGAGGGGUUGUCUCUCUGGGAGGCGCUUUCCUCAGUCACAAUGUUCAGAGGCCAAACGACGUAUUGACAAACAAGGCUAACUGUGAGAGAAGCUGUCCACUACACAUCUCAGCUACAAUUGCCAGACUCCAUGCCAGUACCCGAGAAGAGGGAAAGAACAGAAAUGGUAAUAAGGGAAAUGGGACUAUAAGAUGCCAUGGACACAAGAAUUGGAGGCUAGGGGUCCAAAGGACCAAGUGGUAGUCAAGAGAGAAGAGUUAGCAUCUGCCUGGAAAUUGUCACCCACCCAAAGCUUCUCUUCCUCGAUGAACCAACCAGUGGACUCGACAGGGCAACAUCCUCUUAUGUCAUGAGCAAAAUAGCUUGCUUGGACCAAAGAGAUGGAAUCAGAAGAACUAUAAUCGCAUCAAUUCAUCAACCCAGUAGUAAAGUCUUCCAGCUCUUGUUGGGUGCUUUAGAUUGGUUGUAGUAGGGUGGGCUGUGAUCACUGCAUAUAAUCAGUGAGAGGUUGUUUUGUCAAACUCAUAUGUUGUCUUCUCUUUCUUGUAGUGUUGUGCGCACAAAAUUAAAGUUGUAUACUUUGUUGUUAUCUAUUUUUGUAAUGGAACUAUUGAAGUUCAAUUAAUUCAAGUGUUUAAUGAUGAGUUAAUGAUGAUGCUUUUUGGUA